UGGCGCUUUGAGAUGUGCGCUUUCUCUCUGCCCCCCAGGCGCUCCUUCAUCCGCCGCAUACCCAACACUCCUCCGCGCCCGACGCCCCCAUCCACCGCACAGUCCAGCAGUUCCUCUGACCCCGGAGCUUCCUCCUCCUUUGACGGCGAGAUCCAUCUCCCCUGCUGCCCUCCGGUUAGCUUUCUCCCCAUUCGGCGGCGGCGCAUUCCCUGAACAAGGUCGAUGGAUCUCGCCGGUCACCCCCGCUCUCCCGGAUCUCGGCAAGAGAGAACCGCAACUGCGCACUUCGGCGCCGCGCUCCCCGGUGCCGUGUCCUGUAAUUUUCCCUUCCGACGCCGCACUCCUCAUCACCGUGUAUUGACAAUCUCAUUCUGGCGGAGGUAUGCAACUUAUGGAUAUGGGAGGAUGUUUUGAACCAAUAUGUAUGCGAUGUCGCCAGCCUGCUUACUGCUACAUUGUCAAUCAGCAGGAAAAGGAUGGUAGUAUUGGGUACAAUGAGCAUGCAGCUUGAAAAACAAGGAUGUGACAGAUUUAGCACAAGUUGUGUUUUCAUAAGCACUUGGUGAUCAAAAAUAUAUUUCGGAUUGCCUAUUUCUUCAACACAGAGCUAGACUUUUACGAAGUGGUUUAGGUUGCAUGUCCUGUAACACAAGGUUUCAUUUUCUGAUGGCAAGUAUGGUUUGGACCGGUGUUGCAUGGGAUCAUGUAUUUACUUGCAAAGAAUUGUUCUUCUCAUGUUGUGUAUGUUUCAUAUUUUGUAUAGGGAAACCAGACUAUGUAGGAAUAUAUGAUACAAAUAAAAACAAUAUAAUUUUUUGUGCAUCUUGUUGUCAAUUGUGGCUUUGUACAACAAGUUUGGGAGAGGGUCAGAAUCUGGACAGAUGACCUUGACACCUUGUUAAGGUCUCCACUGAUGAGUCUGAUGUGCUGGACUGGUGGCAGAAGACUUUAGCAGGCUUACCAAAGAAACUAAGAAGAUUGAAGUCUGCCAUCAUGAUGUACAGAGCAUGGAAUAUUUGGAAGAUGUGGAAUUGGCAUAUUUUUUACCAUCAUCAGUUGGAUGUGGUGCAUGUCUUCGUGCGUAAGAUGGCUUGUGGUGCACCUGAGCUCUCACUACCCUCAUGAUUAGUGUUUUCUUUUUCAGAGUGUACGAGUCUUUGCUUGUUUAUGUAAUCACAACAUUGUAAGAAUUAGCUUGCUUCUCCUUAAAUGACAAUUGUAAAUUGUAAUGCUGA
Molecule: long non-coding RNA, 1235 nt
Organism: Panicum virgatum (switchgrass)
Lineage: Eukaryota; Viridiplantae; Streptophyta; Magnoliopsida; Poales; Poaceae
Exons: 3
Source: RefSeq, a predicted model, not a curated record